Molecule: ribosomal RNA, 503 nt
Filed under: uncultured bacterium
Lineage: Bacteria
Description: partial 16S ribosomal RNA
Rfam family: Bacterial small subunit ribosomal RNA
Source: RNAcentral
AUUGAACGCUGGCGGCAGGCUUAACACAUGCAAGUCGAGCGGGGUGAUGGUGCUUGCACUAUCACUUAGCGGCGGACGGGUGAGUAAUGCUUAGGAAUCUGCCUAUUAGUGGGGGACAACAUCUCGAAAGGGAUGCUAAUACCGCAUACGUCCUACGGGAGAAAGAAAGGGAUCCCUUGUGACCUUGCGCUAAUAGAUGAGCCUAAGUCGGAUUAGCUAGUUGGUGGGGUAAAGGCCUACCAAGGCGACGAUCUGUAGCGGGUCUGAGAGGAUGAUCCGCCACACUGGGACUGAGACACGGCCCAGACUCCUACGGGAGGCAGCAGUGGGGAAUAUUGGACAAUGGGGGGAACCCUGAUCCAGCCAUGCCGCGUGUGUGAAGAAGGCCUUAUGGUUGUAAAGCACUUUAAGCGAGGAGGAGGCUCUUUUGGUUAAUACCCAAGAUGAGUGGACGUUACUCGCAGAAUAAGCACCGGCUAACUCUGUGCCAGCCGCCGCCGUAA